CAAUAGCGUAUAUUAAAGUUGUUGCAGUUAAAAAGCUCGUAGUUGGACUUCUGAUUCGAAAGAUCGGUCCGCCGCAAGGCGAGCACUGAUUCUUCGAGUCUUCCUCUCGUAGUUGUUUGGCGCACUUGAUUGGGUGCCAGAUGAAUAUGGGACCUUUACUUUGAAAAAAUUAGAGUGUUCAAAGCAGGCGUUUGCUUGAAUAUAUUAGCAUGGAAUAAUGGAAUAGGACGCUGGUUCUAUUUUGUUGGUUUUGAGAACCAGAGUAAUGAUUAAUAGGGACAGUGGGGGCAUUCAUAUUUCAUUGUCAGAGGUGAAAUUCUUGGAUUUAUGAAAGACGAACUUCUGCGAAAGCAUUUACUCAAGAACGAAAGUUAGGGGAUCGAAGAUGAUCAGAUACCA
RNAcentral lists this ribosomal RNA (399 nucleotides) under uncultured eukaryote. Its description in RNAcentral is "bacterial SSU rRNA". It matches the Rfam family "Eukaryotic small subunit ribosomal RNA", at positions 592 to 1017 of the family's 1831-position model. The record is from RNAcentral.